This 300-nucleotide ribosomal RNA is filed under the name uncultured Flammeovirgaceae bacterium. RNAcentral's name for it is "bacterial SSU rRNA". It matches the Rfam family "Bacterial small subunit ribosomal RNA", at positions 114 to 415 of the family's 1533-position model. Lineage: Bacteria; Pseudomonadati; Bacteroidota; Cytophagia; Cytophagales; Flammeovirgaceae. The record is from RNAcentral.
CGCGUAUGCAACCUACCCAUUACUGGGGGAUAGCCCGAAGAAAUUCGGAUUAAUACCCCAUGUUAUAGUUUGAUGGCAUCUGAAGACUAUAAAAGAUUUAUCGGUAAUGGAUGGGCAUGCGUCUGAUUAGUUAGUUGGUGAGGUAACGGCUCACCAAGACGAUGAUCAGUAGGGGGUCUGAGAGGAUGAUCCCCCACACUGGUACUGAGACACGGUCCAGACUCCUACGGGAGCAGCAGUGGGGAAUAUUGCACAAUGGGGGAAACCCUGAUGCAGCCAUGCCGCGUGUGUGAAGAAGGC